CAAAGAAAAAAUUGGCAGAUUGACAGCUCUUUCUUGAUUCUGUGGGUGGUAUGAUACAGCCAUCCUUAUUUGGAAGGAGGAUUUGUAUGGUUAAUUCCAUGAAGGAAUGAGAAUCUGACUUCUUAAUUUUUUUUACCAUCCUAGAAAUGCCAGAAUCCCGAUGCCUUUUGAAGAACAAAUGAUUUUCAGCCAUCUGUGUAUGAGCAGUGACUGAUCUUGGUUGGUCU
RNAcentral lists this non-coding RNA (227 nucleotides) under Sarcophilus harrisii (Tasmanian devil). RNAcentral describes it as "Eukaryotic small subunit ribosomal RNA". It matches the Rfam family "Eukaryotic small subunit ribosomal RNA", at positions 1229 to 1473 of the family's 1831-position model. The record is from Rfam by way of RNAcentral. Lineage: Eukaryota; Metazoa; Chordata; Mammalia; Dasyuromorphia; Dasyuridae.